RNAcentral lists this ribosomal RNA (453 nucleotides) under Escherichia coli. RNAcentral describes it as "partial 23S ribosomal RNA". It matches the Rfam family "Bacterial large subunit ribosomal RNA", at positions 419 to 874 of the family's 2925-position model. Lineage: Bacteria; Pseudomonadati; Pseudomonadota; Gammaproteobacteria; Enterobacterales; Enterobacteriaceae. The record is from RNAcentral.
GGGACACGUGGUAUCCUGUCUGAAUAUGGGGGGACCAUCCUCCAAGGCUAAAUACUCCUGACUGACCGAUAGUGAACCAGUACCGUGAGGGAAAGGCGAAAAGAACCCCGGCGAGGGGAGUGAAAAAGAACCUGAAACCGUGUACGUACAAGCAGUGGGAGCACGCUUAGGCGUGUGACUGCGUACCUUUUGUAUAAUGGGUCAGCGACUUAUAUUCUGUAGCAAGGUUAACCGAAUAGGGGAGCCGAAGGGAAACCGAGUCUUAACUGGGCGUUAAGUUGCAGGGUAUAGACCCGAAACCCGGUGAUCUAGCCAUGGGCAGGUUGAAGGUUGGGUAACACUAACUGGAGGACCGAACCGACUAAUGUUGAAAAAUUAGCGGAUGACUUGUGGCUGGGGGUGAAAGGCCAAUCAAACCGGGAGAUAGCUGGUUCUCCCCGAAAGCUAUUUAGG